This 234-nucleotide unclassified non-coding RNA is filed under the name Hevea brasiliensis (rubber tree). The record is from RNAcentral. Lineage: Eukaryota; Viridiplantae; Streptophyta; Magnoliopsida; Malpighiales; Euphorbiaceae.
AGCUCUAGCAACAAAACCACCCAUGGAAUGACCAACCAAUAUCACACUUCUCGGAGGACUCCUAGACACAGCAGCACCUUCCUUAACUCGUGCAUCGUGGGACUCUUUAUAAUGAUCCAAUAUCCUGUGAAUGGCAUAUACAACAUAAUCUGUGUGUUCUUCAAGAAUUCGACCAUCCAUUGCAGAAUGUUCACCUUCAAGAUCCACAGCAAACCAGUCAAGCAUGGAUGUGUA